Non-coding RNA from Carica papaya (papaya), 930 nucleotides. Lineage: Eukaryota; Viridiplantae; Streptophyta; Magnoliopsida; Brassicales; Caricaceae. The record is from RefSeq and is a predicted model, not a curated record.
AAGAGAUUGUUACGCACCACCAUUCUCAUCAACGAUGGAAUCUGACCCAGCUGCCACAAUGUAAACACAAGCUAAAAAUGACGAAGAAGCCCUUCCUUCCGUCUUACCAAUACUGGCGAAAAUACAGAAAGAAAAGAAAACAUUGCCGCCCGGCGGUGGAGGCUCCAGCCAGGGGCAAUGACCACAUCUUAGUGACACGACCUCUUCUUCUUAUGAUUGAUUGCUGCCUGCUGGCUGGCGGCGGAGCGCAUUGUUGACCCGCCAGCUUUAUAAGGACUGCAGGCAAGGGAGGCUGGCUGGGUCGGCUGGAUCAAGCAUGGAGAGAGUACUUCCUUUCCCCUCACACCUCUCCUCCCCUCCCCCCCCCCCAAGGGUCCGAUUGUCAUUCCUAGUCUUAAUCUUGUUGGGAAGUAAAGGAAAUCUUGGGCCAUCUCUUGGAAACUUGCACAUGGGAUUCCGUGGGUGUUAACUGUGGCAGCAGGACUGCGAUAAACAUGGAAGAAGACUCUGCAACUUAUGAUGCUUUGUUUCGGCAGCAAAAAGGCUCCAUUGUUUGGCUCUCAACAUAAAAACGGAGUUUCCAUAACAAACCUGAGACAGUGAAAUAGUAUCAUAAUUAGAUUUAUAACUGACAAGAGCAGGAAGGUCACACAUUGUGCGAUUACUUGGGUUGAGAGGAAUGAAGAUUGCACUGUGACCAGCCCAAUUGUUGUGUCACCUACUUUGAGUCAGUGGCGAGUGCCUACUUUCAGUAUCACGUGGGGUGAGUUGUAUUCUUGAGAAUUGGACCGUCGAGACAAAGAAAUGUAUAAUCCUGAAUAAGUUGCUAAAAUUAUUUACUCAAGCAUUUAGAAGUAAUGACUUUUCUUCUCUCUGAAUACUAUUCUCUGUAUAAUUUUUGUUACUGUUAACAGGUUACUAUAACUGCCA